This 451-nucleotide ribosomal RNA is filed under the name uncultured bacterium. RNAcentral's name for it is "partial 16S ribosomal RNA". It matches the Rfam family "Bacterial small subunit ribosomal RNA", at positions 30 to 523 of the family's 1533-position model. The record is from RNAcentral.
AUUGAACGCUGGCGGCAGGCCUAACACAUGCAAGUCGAACGGAUGUAGCAAUACAUCAGUGGCAGACGGGUGAGUAACACGUGGGAACCUUCCUAGGGGUACGGAACAACUCAGGGAAACUUGAGCUAAUACCGUAUACGUCCGUGAGGAGAAAGAUUUAUCGCCCUUAGACGGGCCCGCGUCGGAUUAGCUAGUUGGUGGGGUAACGGCCUACCAAGGCGACGAUCCGUAGCUGAUCUUAGAGGAUGAUCAGCCACACUGGGACUGAGACACGGCCCAGACUCCUACGGGAGGCAGCAGUGGGGAAUUUUGGACAAUGGGCGCAAGCCUGAUCCAGCCAUGCCGCGUGAGUGAAGAAGGUCUUCGGAUUGUAAAGCUCUUUUGCCAGGGACGAUAAUGACGGUACCUGGAGAAUAAGCCCCGGCAAACUUCGUGCCAGCCGCCGCAGUAA